CCUACGGGUGGCAGCAGUGGGGAAUAUUGGACAAUGGGCGAAAGCCUGAUCCAGCCAUGCCGCGUGUGUGAAGAAGGCCUUCGGGUUGUAAAGCACUUUCAGUGGGGAAGAAAGCCUUGGGGCUAAUACCCUCGAGGAAGGACAUCACCCACAGAAGAAGCACCGGCUAACUCCGUGCCAGCAGCCGCGGUAAUACGGAGGGUGCGAGCGUUAAUCGGAAUUACUGGGCGUAAAGCGCGCGUAGGCGGUCUGAUAAGCCGGUUGUGAAAGCCCCGGGCUCAACCUGGGAACGGCAUCUGGAACUGUCAGGCUAGAGUGCAGGAGAGGAAGGUAGAAUUCCCGGUGUAGCGGUGAAAUGCGUAGAGAUCGGGAGGAAUACCAGUGGCGAAGGCGGCCUUCUGGACUGACACUGACGCUGAGGUGCGAAAGCGUGGGUAGCAAACAGGAUUAGAUACCCCUGUAGUC
This 465-nucleotide ribosomal RNA is filed under the name Vreelandella stevensii. RNAcentral's name for it is "partial 16S ribosomal RNA". It matches the Rfam family "Bacterial small subunit ribosomal RNA", at positions 338 to 795 of the family's 1533-position model. Lineage: Bacteria; Pseudomonadati; Pseudomonadota; Gammaproteobacteria; Oceanospirillales; Halomonadaceae. The record is from RNAcentral.